Molecule: unclassified non-coding RNA, 200 nt
Filed under: Tomentella sp.
Lineage: Eukaryota; Fungi; Basidiomycota; Agaricomycetes; Thelephorales; Thelephoraceae
Description: partial internal transcribed spacer 2
Source: RNAcentral
UUAAGUUCAGCGGGUAGUCCUACCUGAUUUGAGAUCAAACAUUUAGAAGCUGUCCUCCCUGGGGAGAGACGUCUGUGAGCUCCAGCGAACCUCCAUCGCUGAAGGUUACCUGGUGAACGGUCACAAGCGUAGAUAGUUAUCACACCUGUGAUGCCACCAAACACUGGCAAGCUGAUUCAUUUGAGAGGAGCCGACAGUCA